UACGUAGGGACCAAGCGUUGUUCGGAUUUACUGGGCGUAAAGGGCCAGUAGGCGGCCAACUAAGUCCGACGUGAAAUCCCCAGGCUUAACCUGGGAACUGCGUCGGAUACUGGAUGGCUUGAAUUCGGGAGAGGGAUGCAGAAUUCCAGGUGUAGCGGUGAAAUGCGUAGAUAUCUGGAGGAAUACCGGUGGCGAAGGCGGCAUCCUGGACCGACAUUGACGCUGAGCGGCGAAAGCUAGGGGAGCAAACGGG
Molecule: ribosomal RNA, 253 nt
Filed under: uncultured bacterium
Lineage: Bacteria
Description: partial 16S ribosomal RNA
Rfam family: Bacterial small subunit ribosomal RNA
Source: RNAcentral